CUUGACGACCAUAGAGCAUUGGAACCACCUGAUCCCAUCCCGAACUCAGCAGUGAAACGAUGCAUCGCCGAUGGUAGUGUGGGGUUCCCCAUGUGAGAGUAGGUCAUCGUCAAGA
RNAcentral lists this ribosomal RNA (115 nucleotides) under Pseudomonas poae. The record is from RNAcentral. Lineage: Bacteria; Pseudomonadati; Pseudomonadota; Gammaproteobacteria; Pseudomonadales; Pseudomonadaceae.